UCUUUUUCUGCUCUUUGUCUUAUAGCUUAUCGUUAUUUAGGAAAAGGUUAUUAUUGGGAAAUGGCAGAAGCAGUUUUCCAUGCCCCAAAAAGGAAAAGAAGAGUGUUUGAGUCAUAUGAUUCUCCAUUCCCUAUUCCUGCCUCUCUGGAAGACAUCUGUGGGAAAGAUUUCAAGAUAUGCCAGGCAGAAAUUAUUAACAAUAAUGUAAUUGUAAGGAACCCUGAAGACAUAGAACAGUUGUAUAGCAAGGGCUAUUUUGGAAAAGGUAUUCUUUCAAGAAGCAGACCAGAAUACAAUAUUUCAGACCCUUUAUUGGCUGCUAAGUGGCAAGAUGCCAAGAUAAACAUGCCCAUACUCUCCUCAAAAAAGUAAGUGCAACUUUCUUUCUUGGGAUACAGUUUGUACUGUAACAGUUCAUGUUUUAGCCCAACAAUGAACUAUAAGUGUUAAUUGUGUGGUAAUCAAGUACAGUAAGUUUACCUAUUUAAUUUGGUGAUGGAAGAUAUAAUAUGGCAGUAAUAUUAUUUAUGCUGAUCAAAAUUUUUAACAAUUUAAACCCCAUAUGUAGUAAAUGGCCUUGGAUGAUUCAGUGUUUUCCUUUAGAAGAGAUUUUCAUGUUAAUCUGCAUAACUUGUUUUCAUUUUAACUGUUCUUACAGUGUAUUUUUCUACUUAAUUGCUAUUUCUAAAUUUCAGUUGGGAAGUAAAAUAUACUAUACUAGCAGUGUUAAAGUUUUAAAACUAUAUAGCUGACUGUAAUUUUAUUUAUAAUUAUGACAGUACUUUGGGACUUUUGUCUUAAAUUAGGUAUAAGAAGAAAUGACAUUUGAACGGACUGUCUGUUUAAAAAUUACACUUCUCUCUGAAAAUUCCAUGCCUGCUGUAGCAUCUAUAAUUAUAACUGAAAAAGAUUAGAAUUAACACCACUUUAUACUUAAUUUGACUAUUCCUCUAAUAGUCAGUCAAUUUCUUCCUACUUGUACACAUCUCUUACUCAGCAACAACAGGAGAGAGAGAGAGGGAGUGUUAAAAAUAAGAAACUAUAAUUGCAAAGUCACAUAAUUGGCAGAGGCAUACGUGUAGCUGCAGUGCCUGAAAUUACUUCAAUUUUUUAAAAAUAGAUUUCAAGUUGAUGAUGUCUUUUUAGUUUGUUAAAGAUUAGUAAGCUUUAUAAUUCCUAAAUAUAUAUGUGUCCUGUGUUCACUUUUGUAUCCUACACCUUGAAUUUGUAUUUGCACUGGUUAUCUUUAAUCAAGAUAUUUGAAAAUUUUAAAUAGUUGUCUUUAAUGUUUGGUAGGAGUGUUAAAAGGAAAAAAACAAACAGAAAUCCCACUCCUGUGGUGCUAAAAAACUGGAUCUGGGAUUUUUCCUACAGUUUGUGGCAGGGGGCAGGAGUGUUUUAUAUUAACUUGAAGUGUCUUUAGUUUUCCACAAAAACAACAGUUCUAAACCAUCUAAAUAAAAAUCCUAUAUCCUUUCAUCAUAUAUUUCCUCCUUGAUAUCUGUGAUGUAAUAAUCAUGCCAGUUUUCCAUUUUGCAGUAGUGACUUCCAUGAUAGACAAAAACUGAGUGUCUAAUGUAAGAGAAAAAGCAGAAAUGCAUUUUAUUUUGGGGGAAUGAGGUGGAACAGGGAGAUUUUCAGUGAUACAGAGAAGGAGCCAAUAUUUUUUGCCAUUUGCACUUUAAAGCUUGCUUAUUUGGUAGACCUUGUUAAAGUAUCUUAGAAUUAUCAAAUUAUUAUGAUUUUACAGUUUGAAAUCUGAAGUGCGCCACAGAUAGAGAUAUAAGUGUGUAAAGUUAAAAACAUUUCCUAAAUGAGUUAAAUACUUUGCUGAUCUUACUUUUGUUCCCAGGUUUCUGUUGAUGGCCUGUUCAAAUCACAUUUACAAGACAGCUCUUCUUAAACCAUAAACUGUUUACACUAGUAUCCAUUUGCUUUAGAAUGAUCUUUCCAAGGACAUUUCUGAGCUGGUUGGGUCCCAAUGUAUUCAAGGCACUGAAGCACCCUCAGAUAUUUGUGUGUUGAUUUGAAACUGAAAUUCUGCAAAGAUUUGGAGCCUCUGUUUGUAGCUGAGAACUACUUCUGGACAUAUUUUGGCAUUGGUCUUCAGUGUUCUAUCGCCAGCUGCUUAAAUCAACAUCUUUAAAUUAUGUUUUUAGUUUCCAGUGUAACAUAUGAAGAAUGUGAACACUGUUUAAAGUCUUCACUGUAGUAAUUGGUAUUCAUAUAGGGCCUGAUCUUGAAGACCUUUCAUAGGCAAUACUGCUUUUUAAGAUUUGAUGGAGUACUGCACAAUUGGGUCUUUAAUCUUAAUAAUGUACUUGGCUUUCAUACAGCAGCAAUUAGGGAAGUGAAUUCUCUUCAGACUCCUUUUGUUCCUGAUCCUCAGCUGAUAUAAAUCAGUUUGGCUUCAUAAAGUAAGUGGACCUUCAUUGGUUUACAUCAGCUGAGGAGAUGUCCCUAAAUCAGAGGUGGGCAAUAAUUUUUGAUGGGGGGGCCACUCCAAGAAUUUGGAAAGUGGUCAAAGGCUGCACUCUUCCGUAUUAAUGGAAGAGGUGCAGGAUCUGAGAUGGAGGUCGGGUUCAGAAGGAAGCUUGCUGUAAGGGAUUGAGGUGCAGAAGAGAGUGUGGGGUCUGUGAGAGAGAUAGGGUGAAGGAGGCAGUUGUGACCUGGUUUAGGAGCCUGGAUUGCAGGAGCUUGGAUUUUGACCUUAGUCAAGAGACUAGGAUGUAGAAGGAUGUGGAGGGGUUUGGGCUGUGAUCCUAAGGCAGGAGGGGGUUGUGACUUGGGGCAAGGGAUGGGUGCAGGGGUUUGGGUUGCAACCUGGGGCCAGGAAUAUGGGUGC
Pelodiscus sinensis (Chinese soft-shelled turtle) is the source of this 2845-nucleotide non-coding RNA. The record is from RefSeq and is a predicted model, not a curated record. NCBI's taxonomy places the organism in Eukaryota, Metazoa, Chordata, Testudines, Trionychidae.